GCCCCUGUAGCUCAGCCCGGCAGAGCGAUGCUUUCGUAAAGCAUAGGUCGGGGGUUCAACUCCCUCCGGGGGCU
This 74-nucleotide transfer RNA is filed under the name Candidatus Woesearchaeota archaeon. RNAcentral's name for it is "tRNA-Thr". It matches the Rfam family "tRNA". From Rfam's summary of the family: Transfer RNA (tRNA) molecules are approximately 80 nucleotides in length. Their secondary structure includes four short double-helical elements and three loops (D, anti-codon, and T loops). The record is from RNAcentral. Lineage: Archaea; Nanobdellati; Candidatus Woesearchaeota.